UGCCAGCCGCCGCGGUAAUACGGAGGGGGCUAGCGUUGUUCGGAAUUACUGGGCGUAAAGCGCGCGUAGGCGGUCCGCAUAGUCAGGCGUGAAAGCCCCGGGCUCAACCUGGGAACUGCGUUUGAUACUGGCGGGCUAGAGUUCGGGAGAGGGUAGUGGAAUUCCCAGUGUAGAGGUGAAAUUCGUAGAUAUUGGGAAGAACACCAGUGGCGAAGGCGGCUACCUGGACCGACACUGACGCUGAGGUGCGAAAGCGUGGGGAGCAAACAGGAUUAGAUA
RNAcentral lists this ribosomal RNA (279 nucleotides) under uncultured bacterium. Its description in RNAcentral is "partial 16S ribosomal RNA". It matches the Rfam family "Bacterial small subunit ribosomal RNA", at positions 506 to 784 of the family's 1533-position model. The record is from RNAcentral.